GAUGGAGUCGAGCGAACAGAUAUGGAGCUUGCUCCUUUGACGUUAACGGCGGCGGGUGAGUAACACGUGGGUAACCUACCUAUAAGACUGGGAUAACUUCGGGAAACCGGAGCUAAUACCGGAUAACAUUUGCAACCGCAUGGUUCUAAAGUGAAAGAUGGUUUUGCUAUCACUUAUCGAUGGACCCGCGCCGUAUUAGCUAGUUGGUAAGGUAACGGCUUACUAGGCGACGAUACGUAGCCGACCUGAAAGGGCGCUCGGCCACACUGUAACUGACCCUGGUUCAACUCUUCAACGGAAGGCAGCAGUAGGGAAUCUUCCGCAAUGGGCGAAAGCCUGACGGAGCAACGCCGCGUGAGUGAUGAAGGGUUUCGGCUCGUAAAACUCUGUUAUUAUGGAAGAACAAAUGUGUAAGUAACUGUGCACGUCUUGACGGUACCUAAUCAGAAAGCCACGGCUAACUACGUGCCAGCAGCCGCGGUAAUACGUAGGUGGCAAGCGUUAUCCGGAAUUAUUGGGCGUAAAGCGCGCGUAGGCGGUUUCUUAAGUCUGAUGUGAAAGCCCACGGCUCAACCGUGGAGGGUCAUUGGAAACUGGGAAACUUGAGUGCAGAAGAGGAAAGUGGAAUUCCAUGUGUAGCGGUGAAAUGCGCAGAGAUAUGGAGGAACACCAGUGGCGAAGGCGACUUUCUGGUCUGUAACUGACGCUGAUGUGCGAAAGCGUGGGGAUCAAACAAGAUUAGAUACCCUGGUAGUCCACGCCGUAACGAUGAGUGCUAAGUGUUAAGGGGGUUUCCGCCCCUUAGUGCUGCAGCUAACGCAUUUA
RNAcentral lists this ribosomal RNA (825 nucleotides) under Staphylococcus saprophyticus. Its description in RNAcentral is "bacterial SSU rRNA". It matches the Rfam family "Bacterial small subunit ribosomal RNA", at positions 54 to 863 of the family's 1533-position model. Lineage: Bacteria; Bacillati; Bacillota; Bacilli; Caryophanales; Staphylococcaceae. The record is from RNAcentral.